UGGGAUAUUUUCCCAUUGGAUGUGGCUUUAUAGCUGAACAAAAAA
Non-coding RNA from Methanobrevibacter oralis, 45 nucleotides. The record is from Rfam. NCBI's taxonomy places the organism in Archaea, Methanobacteriati, Methanobacteriota, Methanobacteria, Methanobacteriales, Methanobacteriaceae.